Molecule: microRNA precursor, 107 nt
Filed under: Tetraodon nigroviridis (spotted green pufferfish)
Lineage: Eukaryota; Metazoa; Chordata; Actinopteri; Tetraodontiformes; Tetraodontidae
Description: Danio rerio miR-27a stem-loop (ENSTNIG00000020165.1)
Rfam family: mir-27 microRNA precursor family (bases 25-103)
Source: RNAcentral
UGUGUGUGUGUGUCCUGAGUUUGAGAGAGGGGCAGGACUUGGCUCGCUCCGUGAACAGUUCGGUCAGUGUGAGUGUUCACAGUGGCUAAGUUCCGCUCCUCACAAGC